RNAcentral lists this ribosomal RNA (556 nucleotides) under Candida sp. enrichment culture clone MPSR01. Its description in RNAcentral is "eukaryotic LSU rRNA". The stretch from base 193 to 345 matches the Rfam family "5.8S ribosomal RNA". The record is from RNAcentral. Lineage: Eukaryota; Fungi; Ascomycota; Saccharomycetes; Saccharomycetales.
GGAAGUAAAAGUCGUAACAAGGUUUCCGUAGGUGAACCUGCGGAAGGAUCAUUACUGAUUUGCUUAAUUGCACCACAUGUGUUUUUCUUUGAAACAAACUUGCUUUGGCGGUGGGCCCAGCCUGCCGCAGAGGUCUAAACUUACAACCAAUUUUUUAUCAACUUGUCACACCAGAUUAUUACUAAUAGUCAAAACUUUCAACAACGGAUCUCUUGGUUCUCGCAUCGAUGAAGAACGCAGCGAAAUGCGAUACGAAUAUGAAUUGCAGAUAUUCGUGAAUCAUCGAAUCUUUGAACGCACAUUGCGCCCUCUGGUAUUCCGGAGGGCAUGCCUGUUUGAGCGUCGUUUCUCCCUCAAACCGCUGGGUUUGGUGUUGAGCAAACGACUUGGGUUUGCUUGAAAGACGGUAGUGGUAAGGCGGGAUCGCUUUGACAAUGGCUUAGGUCUAACCAAAAACAUUGCUUGCGGCGGUAACGUCCACCACGUAUAUCUUCAAACUUUGACCUCAAUCAGGUAGGACUACCCGCUGAACUUAAGCAUAUCAAUAAGCGGAGGA